This 410-nucleotide ribosomal RNA is filed under the name Shewanella sp. RNAcentral's name for it is "bacterial SSU rRNA". It matches the Rfam family "Bacterial small subunit ribosomal RNA", at positions 62 to 466 of the family's 1533-position model. Lineage: Bacteria; Pseudomonadati; Pseudomonadota; Gammaproteobacteria; Alteromonadales; Shewanellaceae. The record is from RNAcentral.
UCGAGCGGUACAUUUCAAAAGCUUGCUUUUGAAGAUGACGAGCGGCGGACGGGUGAGUAAUGCCUAGGGAACUGCCCAGUCGAGGGGGAUAACAGUUGGAAACGACUGCUAAUACCGCAUACGCCCUACGGGGGAAAAGAGGGGAUCUUCGGACCUUCUGCGAUUGGAUGUACCUAGGUGGGAUUAGCUAGUAGGUGAGGUAAUGGCUCACCUAGGCGACGAUCCCUAGCUGUUCUGAGAGGAUGAUCAGCCACACUGGGACUGAGACACGGCCCAGACUCCUACGGGAGGCAGCAGUGGGGAAUAUUGCACAAUGGGCGCAAGCCCUGAUGCAGCCAUGCCGCGUGUGUGAAGAAGGCCUUCGGGUUGUAAAGCACUUUCAGCGAGGAGGAAAAGGUUAACGGUUAAUA